GAUGAACGCUGGCGGCGUGCUUAACACAUGCAAGUCGAACGGAAAGGCCUCUGCUUGCAGGGGUACUCGAGUGGCGAACGGGUGAGUAACACGUGGGUGAUCUGCCCUGCACUUCGGGAUAAGCCUGGGAAACUGGGUCUAAUACCGGAUAGGACAAUGGUUUGGAUGCUGUUGUGGAAAGUUUUUCGGUGUGGGAUGAGCUCGCGGCCUAUCAGCUUGUUGGUGGGGUAAUGGCCUACCAAGGCGUCGACGGGUAGCCGGCCUGAGAGGGUGUACGGCCACAUUGGGACUGAGAUACGGCCCAGACUCCUACGGGAGGCAGCAGUGGGGAAUAUUGCACAAUGGGCGCAAGCCUGAUGCAGCGACGCCGCGUGGGGGAUGACGGCCUUCGGGUUGUAAACUCCUUUCGCUAGGGACGAAGCGUUUUUGUGACGGUACCUGAAGAAGAAGCACCGGCUAACUACGUG
This 467-nucleotide ribosomal RNA is filed under the name uncultured bacterium. RNAcentral's name for it is "partial 16S ribosomal RNA". It matches the Rfam family "Bacterial small subunit ribosomal RNA", at positions 28 to 507 of the family's 1533-position model. The record is from RNAcentral.